This 496-nucleotide ribosomal RNA is filed under the name uncultured Exiguobacterium sp. RNAcentral describes it as "bacterial SSU rRNA". It matches the Rfam family "Bacterial small subunit ribosomal RNA", at positions 44 to 514 of the family's 1533-position model. Lineage: Bacteria; Bacillati; Bacillota; Bacilli; Caryophanales. The record is from RNAcentral.
GUGCUAUCAUGCAAGUCGAGCGCAGGAAACUGACGGAACUCUUCCGAGGGAAGGCAGCGGAAUGAGCGGCGGACGGGUGAGUAACACGUAUGGAACCUGCCUCAAGGAUUGAGAUAACUCCGAGAAAUCGGAGCUAAUACCGGAUAGUUCAACGGACCGCAUGGUCCGCUGAUGAAAGGCGCUCCGGCGUCACCUUGAGAUGGCCUUGCGGUGCAUUAGCUAGUUGGUGGGGUAACGGCUCACCAAGGCGACGAUGCAUAGCCGACCUGAGAGGGUGAUCGGCCACACUGGGCACUGAGACACGGCCCAGACUCCUACGGGAGGCAGCAGUAGGGAAUCUUCCACAAUGGACGAAAGUCUGAUGGAGCAACGCCUCGUGAGUGAUGAAGGUUUUCGGAUCGUAAAACUCUGUUGUAAGGGAAGAACACGUACGAUAGGAAAUGCUCGUACCUUGACGGUACCUUACUAGAAAGCCCGCCUAACUACAUACCAGCAG